UACGAGGUGGACAAACGUUAUUCGGAUUUACUGGGCUUAAAGCGUGCGUAGGCGGCUCAGAAAGUUGGGUGUGAAAGCCCUCGGCUCAACCGAGGAAUUGCGCUCAAAACUACUGAGCUUGAGUGAGAUAGGGGAGAGCGGAACUGAUGGUGGAGCGGUGAAAUGCGUUGAUAUCAUCAGGAACACCGGUGGCGAAGGCGGCUCUCUGGAUCUUACCUGACGCUGAGGAACGAAAGCCAGGGGAGCGAACGGG
RNAcentral lists this ribosomal RNA (253 nucleotides) under uncultured bacterium. RNAcentral describes it as "partial 16S ribosomal RNA". It matches the Rfam family "Bacterial small subunit ribosomal RNA", at positions 524 to 776 of the family's 1533-position model. The record is from RNAcentral.